AUGCCGCCCCCUAAGCCGGGAAGCACCUGCUGUGGGGCACAGGGCCGAGGAGACAGCAUUCCUGGACAGCUUUGUCUGAGCACCCUGCUUCCCCGGCCCCUCUCGUUUUCCCCUGUUGCCCUCGCGGUGCGUGCUCACCCCCUGGCCCCCUGCAGAGCCCCGCACUCAGCCAGCCCCAGGAACACAGCAGUGAAGACUUUGUCCUCAAAGGAGGCAGCUGAGCUAAUUAGCAGAGACUCCAUCCUCUCCUCAGCGAGGACAUUAUUUCAUUAUCUGAAGCUCAACACAGCCCCACGGUGUCCAGCCAACACGCUCAGGCAGCUGGCAACAGCAGAGCAAAUCAAUGGGCAGCAAGAGGCCAGCUCUGGCCCGGCCUCCCCACGGGGCCUGGGGCUCCGUCCCAUCUUUCUGGCAGAUGCCGGGGAAGACAAAAAAGCCAGUGUUGGAUGGGAAAGAUUACAGGCUGAGCAGCGAGGCACAAAGGGCCCACCGAGAACUCAUGCCUAUUGUCGCUUCUGGACGAAAUCGGCCAUCUCCAGGACAGAGACCGGCCCCGCGGCACGGCCACUGCCUACCUGCCCACGCUCAGCGCCGCCAGCUGCCGUAAGCCCAUCGGAUGAGCUUCUCGCCACCCCCACGCACGCAGGUGGCCUCCUGCCAGCCUCCUCUCGGGUGACCAUGUUGGUUCCCCCUCCUUUCUGCCUCCCCAGGCUUGGUGCCUCCUCUUUCAAGGGGCCUUCCUGGCUACUCCAUUCUGCUCUGCCUCCAGUCUCCGGAGCUCUUCUGGGCCCCACAAAAUCAAGCCCGUGGCCCUGUAGUGUCUGCCGUGCCCAGCUUUCCCUGUGGUGGCUCUGGUUCUUGACCUGCAGGUCCUGAUGUGGAAGGAAGAGAGAUCUGGCCUCCUCGCUGCCUCGCCAUCGUGGAGCGUGGUGUAGGGGCACACGGUAGGAGCUUGAGAAGCGGUGCUGACAGGCCCCCAGGAAAUCCUUCCAAAGCCUCCAUGCACUGCAGUGGAGGAUAUUGGGGGGGGGUGGUCAGAGAGCAGGGCUGCGGUCAGCCCUAAAGUGAGAGUCUGUGUGCUCUUGGGUCAGUCCUUGGCAUCCUCUUGGCCUCAGUGUCCUGGUCUGUCAAGGCAGGGUUUGAGUUGAAAUGACCUCUGAGGUUCUGUUCACUUGCUGGGGCUGUGCUGAGCCGGACGCAGCUCAUGGCCCGACAAGCCGCGGGGGCAGGGAGGGAAGGCAGCAGAGGGCUGGCUGGGGCCGGGCACGCCGGGCGGCACGGGGCCUGGUGCCCACGCGAGCAGAGGACGCCCAGCCGCAGCUCGGCCGCUAGGGGACCAGCAGUGUAGCCGGUGAGCCACGCGGAGAACACGGUCUGGCGGAGGAGGGGCUGGGAGCGCACACACGCCACCUGUGCACACGCGAGUACACACACAGCGAUGUUAUGUCAGCCAGGAGCGGCCAAGCCUCACAGGCGUCGAGCUUCUCAAUCCGAGUGCCUUUCCAGGCGCUGCCACGCUUGCCUCGCCGCCCCCCCACCCGAGGAGGAACAGGGAACCCCUCACAGCCCCGUUGGAGAUGGGUUCCUGGAUCCUUCUCACUUCCAGAGUGUGAGAAGUCAUUGCCCGAUCCACGUCUUCCCCAAACUGUGCCAGGUGCUUGUCUUCAUGAGAGAUGAGACAAAGAAGGCAUGUGCUAUGGAGGAGCGGGCAACGUGCCCGGAGCGGAGAGAAAGUGGGAGCGAGAGGGAUGGGAGGAAGGACGGAGAAAGGGAAGGGGGAACAAAGGGAGGAAAAGAGGAUGGGAGGAGGGGAAAGAGGUAAGGA
This 1825-nucleotide long non-coding RNA is filed under the name Canis lupus familiaris (dog). RNAcentral describes it as "lncRNA (ENSCAFG00040021960.1)". The record is from RNAcentral. Lineage: Eukaryota; Metazoa; Chordata; Mammalia; Carnivora; Canidae.